This 246-nucleotide ribosomal RNA is filed under the name uncultured bacterium. RNAcentral describes it as "partial 16S ribosomal RNA". It matches the Rfam family "Bacterial small subunit ribosomal RNA", at positions 9 to 237 of the family's 1533-position model. The record is from RNAcentral.
GAGUUUGAUCGUGGCUCAGGACGAACGCUGGCGGCGUGCCUAAUACAUGCAAGUGGAACGCAUGAUUGAUACCGGAGCUUGCUCCACCAUUAAUCAUGAGUCGCGAACGGGUGAGUAACGCGUAGGUAACCUACCUCAUAGCGGGGGAUAACUAUUGGAAACGAUAGCUAAUACCGCAUAACAGUCUUUAACCCAUGUUAGAGAUUUGAAAGGGGCAAGAGCUUCACUAUGAGAUGGACCUGCGUU